Long non-coding RNA from Neopsephotus bourkii (Bourke's parrot), 1147 nucleotides. RefSeq lists it as uncharacterized. The record is from RefSeq and is a predicted model, not a curated record. Lineage: Eukaryota; Metazoa; Chordata; Aves; Psittaciformes; Psittacidae. The transcript has 3 exons.
AUGUUACUUAACCAGAAUUAAGACAUUCUUUAUUCCCAGUCAUACCUACCUCCCUCCAAAGGAAAUCAUAUCUAAGACACAGCCUAAUCACUCUGGGCUAAGAUGAACACAGUUCAGGAAAGAUUAGAUGAAUAAAUGUUAAUCAAGAACCACAAGUUUGGCAUUAUAUGUGGCUCUGUUGUUAUCCCAGCCCACCCUCCCUUAUAUGCAGCAUGGGACAAAGGGAAAGAGCGAGCUGUCUGGGUGCUGUGCAGCCUCCCCUUCCAGUGAGCCCAAGUUCCUAACCCAUUAUUUUUAACAGUGCAGCUGCUUUGUACAUUUUUGUGUGUGCAGUCCUAGGCUGUUCUCCCCCGUUGAAAGGAUAGGAGAAAGGAGUAAGAAUAGCCCUUAUGAAAAAUAAUCCAGCCUUAUCAGCUAGUAUAAAGCUGUGCCUGCUAACUCCACUGCAGGACGUUCAACCCCUCGCUGUGGCUGAUUAUGUAAAACACUCCCUUUCCUGACAUGUGCAUGCCUAUCUAUUCAAAUUCUUGUAAACUUAACACUAUCUACAUAUCCACACAAUAAAAGCCCUUCUUGUGGUAUUUAAACAACUUGUCUGAUCUUUUCUGAUUAACUGUGGAUUUCUGCAAAGUUAGCUGAACUUUUCUUUCUAUACAAGAGACAGCCUGGUUAUGUUGCAGCCUGAGUAUCAGGAGAGCACGCUGAAAUCCCUCCUCCUCCACCAAUCAUCUCCUUUAUGACUUUGAGAAUUCACACAUACAUGGUGUGUAUCAGUUUGUGAUCUACAGGGUGAAGGUUUUAGUUUAGCCUGCCCUCGGUACUAUAUGUAGCACUAUUAUCACCCUAGCAGCUCUGUACGCCAGCAAAAGAAGGUCAGCCGAGAGCAAGGGGUUGGAGCAUCUCCCAGGGCCUGGCUGGGCUGUAUUACUAGCACUUCUUUGGGCAAAUAUGCAAAGUUUAAUGAAGCCAGUGGAAAAAUUCCCACCGGCUUUGGUUAGCUUUGGAUCCAGCUAUAAAUUAGAUUUGGACAACUGCCUAAUUCUCAAUGCCUGUGUCCUGCAAGAGAGAGGAAAGAGGGAAAGAAGAAAGAAAGAAGAGGAAAAGAAGGAGGAAACAGGAUUAAAAACAAAACUUCCCAAAUAAAUGU